This 253-nucleotide ribosomal RNA is filed under the name uncultured bacterium. RNAcentral's name for it is "partial 16S ribosomal RNA". It matches the Rfam family "Bacterial small subunit ribosomal RNA", at positions 524 to 776 of the family's 1533-position model. The record is from RNAcentral.
UACGUAGGGUGCGAGCGUUGUCCGGAAUUAUUGGGCGUAAAGGGUGCGUAGGCGGCGGAGUAAGUUGGGUGUGAAAUCCCGGGGCUUAACCUCGGAAUGGCAUUCAAUACUGCUUCGCUAGAGUACUGGAGAGGAGGCUGGAAUUUACGGUGUAGCAGUGAAAUGCGUAGAUAUCGUAAGGAAGGCCGGUGGCGAAAGCGAGCCUCUGGACAGUUACUGACGCUGAUGCACGAAGGCCAGGGGAGCAAACGGG